Molecule: long non-coding RNA, 1232 nt
Filed under: Homo sapiens (human)
Lineage: Eukaryota; Metazoa; Chordata; Mammalia; Primates; Hominidae
Description: FTX transcript, XIST regulator
Source: RNAcentral
GGCACGCAUGCGCAAGGCUUGAAUGGCGUCGGGGUUGGAGGGUUGGAAGGUCGGGAAGUGAAGGACUCGCAGGCAUAUUUAACAACGCAAAGUUGCUAGGAGUUGGUACCAGCGUUUGGGAGGUAGAGGUGGCGCUCAUGCAUAUUUGAGACAACAUCUGGAUGGUUGGGGAGAACGGUGAUGCCACACUCAAUCAGAAACUAUGCUACUGCUGAAGAGGUAUAUUGAGCCCUGCCUGGUUAACCUCCAGUGAGGUUAUUAGAGAAUUGGGAGAGGCUCAAAUCAGCAUCCUGCACCUAGUUAUCAAACCAUUGUGAAGUCUUGAUUCCUGGAUGGCCAGAAAACUUGUCAUUGGUCAAGAGCAACAUUAAGAUCUGCCUGUUACUCAUACUGAUGCUUCCUGCCCAGCAAGUUCAUCAGAGGGCGAGGAUGAAUUACGGUUGCCAUGAAUGUCCUUGUGAGGCAGUUGGGAAGCCUUGGCUGGAUUGUGAAGGAUAUUUGAAAAGUAUUUUAGAGUCCACCAGAUCAUCCAUGUGAGUGACCAUGCAGCAAAAGAAGGAGGGUCCUCUCAGUGAUUAAGGUAACAUAGUGAUUAAGGAUUAUGAAGUAUUAAUUCUUCCACUGAUAUCUCAAAAGGUGAUCUGGACAAAGGAACAGGUAUCUCAGAUAAUCAGCAACUGCUGUGAUGAGAUGCUGCCUUUAAUGCUGCUGCAUGUGGUCAAACCUCCACUCCCAGUCUACCCAGACCAGGACUUGGCUUCCAGGAUCCAGGGGUGUCUGUGUGAAAUGAUCAGCCUGGGCCCCCAAGCAGGUCACUCCCAGCACAGAGAUGUCAUUGAUUGUACCACCGUCAUCAGGCUGUCUUCCGCCCUCAGGGAAAAGUAGCAUGUCUUCCAGCACCAUAUGACAACUGCUCAGCACUUAUUUCUUGUCAUUGCUCCCUUCUGACUGCAGCUCCGUGGGAUCACAGGAGAUUAUGGUGGUGGUGGACUCCCAGGCAUUGCUAUUCUCCUGACACCAGAACACCAUCAUGGUCAUCUCUGAGGCAUCAGUAGUGUUUCUAUAUGCCAACAGUGAACAAUCUGAAAAAGAUAUUAAAAAGUAAUCUCAUUUACAAUAGCCACACAUAAAAUUAAAUACCUAGGAAUUAACCAAAGAAGUUAAAUAUCUCUAUAAUGAAAACUAUAAAACACUGAUGAAUGAAAUUGAUGAGAUCACCAAAAAUGAAAAAA